This 223-nucleotide long non-coding RNA is filed under the name Ananas comosus (pineapple). RNAcentral describes it as "long non-coding RNA (ACOM_LNC036178)". The record is from RNAcentral. Lineage: Eukaryota; Viridiplantae; Streptophyta; Magnoliopsida; Poales; Bromeliaceae.
UCGACAAUUUAACUAAUGUUAGUCAUUUUAAAUUAAUGAAAUAUAAUAUAUAUAUACUUACGUGAUUAAUUGCAAAAAAAAUAUAAAGUUUUAGUGAUAAAUAUAAAAUUUUUAAAUUUUAGACAGCUAUUUUCAAACAACCAAAAGUUGAAAUGGAUUUAUCCCUAUUAUCUUCUUUUUCUAAUUCCCCAAAAGCACCAAAUUUUGAUAGCAAAGAAACAAA